GUAGUCGUACACGGUAGCCGUAGAUCUUAACCGGGCCCGUAGAGUUUGAACCUGGCUCCGAAAAUCUUAACCGGGGUACCCUAAAUUUUGCUACGGAAUACCUCAGGGAAACUUGUGCUAAUACCGUAUGUGCCCUUCGGGGGAAAGAUUUAUCGGCAAAGGAUCGGCCCGCGUUGGAUUAGCUAGUUGGUGAGGUAAAGGCUCACCAAGGCGACAAUCCAUAGCUGGUCUGAGAGGAUGAUCAGCCACACUGGGACUGAGACACGGCCCAACUCCUACGGGAGGCAGCAGUGGGGAAUAUUGGACAAUGGGCGCAAGCCUGAUCCAGCCAUGCCGCGUGAGUGAUGAAGGCCCUAGGGUUGUAAAGCUCUUUCACCGGUGAAAUAAUGACGGUAACCGGAGAAGAAGCCCCGGCUAACUUCGUGCCACACCCCGGUAAUACAAAGGGGGCUACCGUUGUUCGGAUUUACUGGCUAAACCCACGUGGCGGACUUUUAGUCGGGUGAAAUCCCGGGGCUCACCCCGGACUGCCUUUGAUCUGGAAUCUUGAUAUGGCCAGGGAUGGAAUUCCAGUGUGAGGUGAAAUUCUAGAUUUCGAAGAAACCUUG
Molecule: ribosomal RNA, 608 nt
Filed under: Ochrobactrum sp. HPC994
Lineage: Bacteria; Pseudomonadati; Pseudomonadota; Alphaproteobacteria; Hyphomicrobiales; Brucellaceae
Description: bacterial SSU rRNA
Rfam family: Bacterial small subunit ribosomal RNA
Source: RNAcentral